GAUGAACGCUGGCGGCGUGCUUAACACAUGCAAGUCGAACGGAAAGGCCCAAGCUUGCUUGGGUACUCGAGUGGCGAACGGGUGAGUAACACGUGGGUGAUCUGCCCCGCACUUCGGGAUAAGCCUGGGAAACUGGGUCUAAUACCGGAUAGGACCACUUCUUGGAGGUUGUGGUGGAAAGUUUUUUCGGUGUGGGAUGAGCUCGCGGCCUAUCAGCUUGUUGGUGGGGUAAUGGCCUACCAAGGCGUCGACGGGUAGCCGGCCUGAGAGGGUGUACGGCCACAUUGGGACUGAGAUACGGCCCAGACUCCUACGGGAGGCAGCAGUGGGGAAUAUUGCACAAUGGGCGGAAGCCUGAUGCAGCAACGCCGCGUGGGGGAUGACGGCCUUCGGGUUGUAAACUGCUUUCGCUAGGGACGAAGCGCGAGUGACGGUACCUAGAGAAGAAGCACCGGCUAACUACGUG
Molecule: ribosomal RNA, 466 nt
Filed under: uncultured bacterium
Lineage: Bacteria
Description: partial 16S ribosomal RNA
Rfam family: Bacterial small subunit ribosomal RNA
Source: RNAcentral